This 301-nucleotide ribosomal RNA is filed under the name uncultured bacterium. Its description in RNAcentral is "partial 16S ribosomal RNA". It matches the Rfam family "Bacterial small subunit ribosomal RNA", at positions 509 to 807 of the family's 1533-position model. The record is from RNAcentral.
CAGCCGCCGCGGGAAUACGUAGGUGGCAAGCGUUGUCCGGAAUUAUUGGGCGUAAAGGGCUCGCAGGCGGUUUCUUAAGUCUGAUGUGAAAGCCCCCGGCUCAACCGGGGAGGGUCAUUGGAAACUGGGAAACUUGAGUGCAGAAGAGGAGAGUGGAAUUCCGCGUGUAGCGGUGAAAUGCGUAGAGAUGUGGAGGAACACCAGUGGCGAAGGCGACUCUCUGGUCUGUAACUGACGCUGAGGAGCGAAAGCGUGGGGAGCGAACAGGAUUAGAUACCCGCGUAGUCCCUGUCUCUUAUAC